UACAAGACCACUACGUGUGGAAAAUGUAAUAACGUAAGGGAAAAAAAUGAUAUUACCUUACUAUUAGUGUUGUCCAAAUAUUGGUGCCAGAAGACUCGGUAAGGCCAGAAACGCAAACGUUAGUCGUCCUAAUCAGGCGUAAAGGGUAUGUAGGCUGCUUUAAAAAUUUUUAUUUUUAGCUAAUGGAUAAAAAUUUAAAAUAUUAAUUAAUAAGUUUAAAAAAUUAUCUAUAAAUAUAAAAAAAUUAGAGCUAGAAUCAAACUGAGGAUAAGUCAAAUAAUACCUAGUGUAGGGUUUAAAUCUGUUGAUGUUAGGUGGAAUACUAAGGGUGAAAGCUUUUUAUCUAGAAAUGAUUGACGCUGAGAAACGAAGGUGAGAAUAGGAAAUAGGAUUANAUACCCAGAUACCUCUCACAGUCAACGAUGAAUGGUGGUUGUUAGUUAGUUUUAUUUAACUGAUAACGAUGUUAACACGAUAACCAUUCCGCCUUGCGAGUACGGNUGCAAAACUGAAACCAAAAAAAUUAGUCGGUCUCGAAGCAAACGAAGUGAAGCAUGUUAUUU
RNAcentral lists this ribosomal RNA (563 nucleotides) under Entoloma kovalenkoi. Its description in RNAcentral is "partial 12S small subunit ribosomal RNA". It matches the Rfam family "Bacterial small subunit ribosomal RNA", at positions 405 to 947 of the family's 1533-position model. The record is from RNAcentral. Lineage: Eukaryota; Fungi; Basidiomycota; Agaricomycetes; Agaricales; Entolomataceae.